AACGUAGGACGCGAGCGUUAUCCGGAGUUACUGGGCGUAAAGGGUGGGCAGGCGGCCGUGUCAGAUGGGUGUGAAAUCUCCCGGCUCAACCGGGAGGGGCCACUCGUGACUGCACGGCUGGAGGGCAGCAGAGGCGCGUGGAAUUCCGGGUGGAGUGGUGAAAUGCGUAGAGAUCCGGAGGAACACCAGAGGCGAAGGCGGCGCGCUGGGCUGCACCUGACGCUGAACCACGAAAGCCUGGGUAGCGAACGGG
RNAcentral lists this ribosomal RNA (253 nucleotides) under uncultured bacterium. RNAcentral's name for it is "partial 16S ribosomal RNA". It matches the Rfam family "Bacterial small subunit ribosomal RNA", at positions 524 to 776 of the family's 1533-position model. The record is from RNAcentral.